This 849-nucleotide ribosomal RNA is filed under the name uncultured bacterium. RNAcentral describes it as "bacterial SSU rRNA". It matches the Rfam family "Bacterial small subunit ribosomal RNA", at positions 21 to 901 of the family's 1533-position model. The record is from RNAcentral.
GGCUCAGGACGAACGCUGGCGGCAUGCCUAACACAUGCAAGUCUAGGGGUAGCAAUACCACUGGCGCACGGGUGAGUAACACGUAGGUUAUCUGCCCCCAUCACAGACAUAACCCCGGGAAACCGGGGCUAAUAUCUGAUGAGGUCGCGAGAUCAAAGCUUCGGCGGAUGGGGAUGAGCCUGCGGCUGAUUAGCUAGUUGGUGAGGUAAUGGCUCACCAAGGCGACGAUCAGUAGCUGGUCUGAGAGGACGAACAGCCACACUGGAACUGAGACACGGUCCAGACUCCUACGGGAGGCAGCAGUGAGGAAUAUUGGUCAAUGGGAGCAAUCCUGAACCAGCAAUGCCGCGUGUGGGAUGACAGGGCUUCGCCUUGUAAACCACUGUCGGACGGGACGAAAGGAGGCCUCGGGCCUCUGGGACGGUACCGUCAAAGGAAGGGUCGGCUAACUACGUGCCAGCAGCCGCGGUAAUACGUAGGACCCGAGCGUUGUCCGGAUUUACUGGGUAUAAAGGGUGCGUAGGCGGCCUUGUGCGUCAGAGGUGAAAUAUCUGGGCUUAACCCGGAGGGUGCCUUUGAUACGGCAGGGCUUGAGUGCGAGAGAGGAUGAUGGAAUUCCUGGUGUAGCGGUGAAAUGCGUAGAUAUCAGGAGGAACACCGGUGGCGAAGGCGGUCAUCUGGCUCGUAACUGACGCUGAGGCACGAAAGCGCGGGGAUCAAACAGGAUUAGAUACCCUGGUAGUCCGCGCCCUAAACGAUGUAUGCUUGGUGUUGGGCCCGCAAGGGUUCAGUGCCGUAGGGAAUCUGAUAAGCAUACCACCUGGGGAGUACGAUCGCAAGGUUGAAACU